AUGGAACCCUGGGAGGGACCUUCCACUGAGAAACCUGGGGAGAAACUGGGAUUGGAACCCCAAAAUCCAUCAUGGAACCCUGGGAGGGACCCUCCACCGAGAAACCUGGAAUUGGGAACCCAAAAUCCAUCAGGGAACCCCAAAAUCCAUCCCAGACAGGCCUGGGAGGGACCUUCCACUGAGAAACCUGGAAUUGGGAACCCCAAAAUCCAUCAGGAAACCCCAAAUCCAUCAUGGAACCCUGUAAGGGACCUUCUACCGAGGAACCUGGGGAGAAACCAGGAUUGGAACCCAAAAUUCAUCAUGGAACCCUGGGAGGGACCUUCCACUGAGAAAUCUGGGGAGAAACCCAAAAUCCAUCAUGGAACCCAUCCUGACCCUCCAGGUGAGACUGGGAUGGACCUUCCACUGAGAAACCUGGGGAGAAACCCAAAAUCCAUCAGGGAACCCCAAAAUCCAUCCCAGACAGGUCUGGGAGGGACCUUCCACCGAGAAACCUGGGGAGAAAUCAUGGAUUGGGAAUCAUGGAACCCCAAAAUCCAUCCCAGAUGGGUCUGGGAGGGACCUUCCACCGAGAAACCUGGGGAGAAACCCAAAAUCCAUCAUGGAACCCCAAAUCCAUCAUGGAACCCUGGGAGGGACCUUCCACUGAGAAACCUGGGGAGAAACCAAGAUUGGAACCCAAAAUCCAUCAUGGAAACCCAAAAUCCAUCAGGGAGCCCCAAAAUCCAUCAUGGAAACCCAAAAUCCAUCAGGGAACCCCAAAAUCCAUCCCAGACAGGCCUGGGAGGGACCUUCCACCGAGAAACCUGGAAUUGGGAACCCAAAAUCCAUCAGGGAACCCCAAAAUCCAUCAUGGAACCCUGUAAGGGACCUUCCACCGAGAAACCUGGGGAGAAACAGGGAUUGGGAAUCAUGGAACCCCAAAUCCAUCCCAGAUGGGCCUGCAAGGGACCUUCCACUGAGAAACCUGGAAUUGGGAACCCAAAAUCCAUCAGGGAACCCCAAAAUCCAUCCCAGACAGGUCUGGGAGAGACCUUCCACCAAGAAACCUGGAACUGGGAACCCAAAAUCCAUCAGGGAACCCCAAAAUUCAUCAGGGAACCUGUCCUUGUACCCAGGUGAGCCUGGGAGGGACCUUCCACUGAGAAACCAGGGGAGAAAUCAUGGAUUGGAACCCAAAAUCCAUCAUGGAACCCCAAAAUCCAUCAUGGAACACAAAAUCCAUCAGGGAACCCCAAAAUCCAUCAUGGAACACAAAAUCCAUAAUGGAACCCAAAAUCCAUCAGGGAACCCAAAAUCCAUCACGGAACCCAAAAUCCAUCAUGGAACCCCAAAAUCCAUCAUGGACCCCAAAAUCCAUCACGGAACCCUGGUUUGGGGUGAGAAAUCAGA
This 1395-nucleotide long non-coding RNA is filed under the name Zonotrichia albicollis (white-throated sparrow). Its description in RNAcentral is "lncRNA (ENSZALG00000000574.1)". The record is from RNAcentral. Lineage: Eukaryota; Metazoa; Chordata; Aves; Passeriformes; Passerellidae.